Molecule: ribosomal RNA, 460 nt
Filed under: uncultured bacterium
Lineage: Bacteria
Description: partial 16S ribosomal RNA
Rfam family: Bacterial small subunit ribosomal RNA
Source: RNAcentral
CCUACGUGAGGCAGCAGUGAGGAAUAUUGGUCAAUGGGCGCGAGCCUGAACCAGCCAAGUAGCGUGAAGGAUGACUGCCCUACGGGUUGUAAACUUCUUUUAUAAAGGAAUAAAGUGAGGCACGUGUGCCUUUUUGUAUGUACUUUAUGAAUAAGGAUCGGCUAACUCCGUGCCAGCAGCCGCGGUACUACGGAGGAUCCGAGCGUUAUCCGGAUUUAUUGGGUUUAAAGGGAGCGUAGAUGGGUUGUUAAGUCAGUUGUGAAAGUUUGCGGCUCAACCGUAAAAUUGCAAUUGAUACUGGCAGUCUUGAGUACAGUUGAGGUAGGCGGAAUUCGUGGUGUAGCGGUGAAAUGCUUAGAUAUCACGAAGAACUCCGAUUGCGAAGGCAGCUUACUAAACUGCCACUGACAUUGAUGCUCGAAAGUGUGGGUAUCAAACAGGAUUAGAUACCCUAGUAGUC